Vicia faba (fava bean) is the source of this 228-nucleotide non-coding RNA. NCBI's taxonomy places the organism in Eukaryota, Viridiplantae, Streptophyta, Magnoliopsida, Fabales, Fabaceae. The record is from the annotation of a GenBank genome assembly.
AUGUUUCAAAUGAGUUCAUUCACACCUUAUCAGCAACCAAACCAUUACCAUAAAUAUAAGCACAUACUUUUCUUUUCUAUUAGUGAAUUAUUAUUUGAUCUUCUUCCCAGCAAAUCCAAUCUGGUUCAAUACCCAAAGUGCAGUUUCAGCAACUCGCAGGUCAUAAAACUCAAUAAAAUUGAGAUGCUUCAUUUCUUGAUAUUCAUAGAUAUGCAAUUAGGAACAUAA